Molecule: long non-coding RNA, 956 nt
Organism: Lathyrus oleraceus (garden pea)
Lineage: Eukaryota; Viridiplantae; Streptophyta; Magnoliopsida; Fabales; Fabaceae
Exons: 3
Source: RefSeq, a predicted model, not a curated record
UGCAAUUGAUGACCCGAGUCUCACAUGUCUGAAUCCGCAUCCACAUACUAAGUUCAUAGGUCAGAUGACUUCACUCCCUCACGUCCAAAACGUUCUGACAUGCUCCGAUCAAACGAUGGCUCCGCCAUGGAUUUCUACUGAGGACGCGAUUCGACCUUGUCUUCAUUACUUCGUGUGCAACCAAACACCAAACGCCAUGGAAAAAGAUUUGAGAACUCGGUUUCACCAUCUCACGAAGAAUCAAGAACGAAUCUAAUCCGUAUUCAAAUUCGCUGCAACAAACACCGAAAUUGAAUCGUUCAAAGGAUUUUCAGAUUACUACGACACGAUGGCUCCAACAACAAACUUCUUCGAUCUUUGCUCUUCUCCUCUGCUUGCUUUGUUGCGGUGGACGAUGAAGAAGUUAAUACUGUUAUGAAGAAAAACUGAAAGUUAAGAUGUUAAUUGGUUAAUCUAAAAUGCGAGUACUAAAAUUCUGAGUACAGGUUAUUUUGGUUGUUAUUGUUGCUACUAAUUUUCCUUUGUCCUGCCAUGCUUGUUAUUUAUAAGUUGUUACCGAUUUGUUUAGUUAAGUGAUGUUAGAUUAGUUUGUUAGUUAUUCCAACUGCUACGACUAGCUAAUGCAGAUUACGGGUUGCAGGUUGUGUGCAUGAUGUGGAAGUGGCUGCUUGCGGAUCGAAGGUAACCUGUAAAUGGAUGUGCUUCUAAGUCACGAUUAUACCACCAACUGCCGUUGAAACGAAUUUUGCAGGUGAAUGCCAUGGUGAUGAAUUGGAGGGGAACUCAUGUGGAUUAUCCAUGAAAAUGGGGGGUUAGAUCUAGAUUCGUAAUGUUGUAAUAUUUGUAACUAUUGGUUUGAAAAUGCAAUGGGAAUGAUUAUAAUUUGAAUGUUGGAAACGAUGAAUAUAUGUACGGAAGUGGUAUAAAAAAAAGGUUGAAUGAUGCAUGGUUAUGUA